This 916-nucleotide unclassified non-coding RNA is filed under the name uncultured Bordetella sp. RNAcentral's name for it is "partial 16S-23S ribosomal RNA intergenic spacer". It matches the Rfam family "Bacterial small subunit ribosomal RNA", at positions 563 to 1499 of the family's 1533-position model. Lineage: Bacteria; Pseudomonadati; Pseudomonadota; Betaproteobacteria; Burkholderiales; Alcaligenaceae. The record is from RNAcentral.
AAGCGUGCGACGGUUCGGAAAGAAAGAUGUGAAAUCCCAGAGCUAACUUUGAACCGCAUUUAACGUCGAGCCAGAGUGUGUCAGAGGGAGGUGGAAUUCCGCGUGUAGCAGUGAAAUGUUAGAGAGUGGUGGAGGAACACCGACAGAAGGGCAGCUUCCUGGGAUAACACUGACGCUCAUGCACGAAAGCGUGGCAAACAGAUUAGAUACCCCAAGUAGUCCACGCCCUAAACGAUGUCAACUAGCUGGGUUGGGGCUCUCGGGCCUUGGUAGCGCAGCUAACGUGUGAAGUUGACCGCCUGGGGAGUACGACGCAAGAUUAAAACUCAAAGGAAUUGACGGGGACCUGCACAAGCGGUGGAUGAUGUGGAUUAAUUCGAUGCAACGCGAAAACCUUACCUACCCUUGACAUGUCUGGAAUCCCGAAGAGAUUUGGGAGUGCUCGCAAGAGAAUCCGGAAACACAGGUGCUGCAUGGCUGUCGUCAGCUCGUGUCGUGAGAUGUUGGGUUAAGUCCCGCAACGAGCGCAACCUUGUCAUUAGUUGCUACGAAAGGGCACUCUAAUGAGACUGCCGCAGACAAACCGAGGAAGGUGGGGGAUGACGUCAAGUCCCCAUGGCCCUAUGGGUGAGGCUUCACACGUCAUACAAUGGUCGGGACAGAGGGUCGCCAACCCGCGAGGGGGAGCCAAUCCCAGAAACCCGAUCGUGUCCGGAUCGCAGUCCGCAACUCGACUGCGGUGAAGUCGGAAUCACAGUAAUCGCGGAUCAGCAUGUCGCGUGAAUACGUUCCCCGGUCUUGUACACACCGCCCGUCACACCAUGGGAGUGGGUUUUACCAGAAGUAGUUAGCCUAACCGUAAGGGAGGGCGAUUACCACGGUAGGAUUCAUGACUGGGGUGAAGUCAACAAGGUAG